This 412-nucleotide long non-coding RNA is filed under the name Vitis vinifera (wine grape). RNAcentral describes it as "long non-coding RNA (VVIN_LNC002364)". The record is from RNAcentral. Lineage: Eukaryota; Viridiplantae; Streptophyta; Magnoliopsida; Vitales; Vitaceae.
UAAUAUUUAAUUAACAUUUAUUAUAAUUAAUAAUGUGGUGCAUUUAUCACUUCAAUUAUAACCAGCGUUUACAAACUAGACUGGACCGAUUGGUCAAACUGGUCAAACUAUCGAUCGGUGACCUUUCUGGUUCAGUUCCCUCUUUUAGGCUGGCUAUCAAUUGGAUAGAUGCUGAACCGCUUAAGCCGAGAGUUGAAUUGUCGAAUCGUUGAAUUGUUGAACCGCUUGGGACCAACGGUUUUUGGAGAACCAAACGGUUCAACACCCCUAGUUUUUUUUUUUUUUGACUAAGUAGGCCACUUGCUCACGACCCAACAUUAAUUGCCUACAUUUUUUUUAUUUUGACAAAAUGGGCUAUAUUCUCUCCACGACCCAACAUUAAAUGUCAACAACCACUUGGCUUGACCACCUA